This is a non-coding RNA of Lentinula edodes (shiitake mushroom), 98 nucleotides long. The record is from the annotation of a RefSeq genome assembly. Lineage: Eukaryota; Fungi; Basidiomycota; Agaricomycetes; Agaricales; Omphalotaceae.
GGGGGUAUAGCUCAGCUGGGAGAGCAGCAGACUGAAGUAUGAAUUUCUUUGAAUGUAAUUAUUUCUGAAGGUCCCGCGUUCGAUCCGCGGUACCCCCA